GACGGAAGGUGCAAGCGUUGCUCGGAAUCACUGGGCGUAAAGGGUGCGUAGGCGGCCGUGCAAGUCUGGCGUGAAAGCCCCGGGCUCAGCCCGGGAAGUGCGCUCGAAACUGCGCGGCUCGAGUGCCGGAGGGGAGAGUGGAAUUCCUGGUGUAGCGGUGAAAUGCGCAGAUAUCAGGAGGAACACCGGUGGCGAAGGCGGGUCUCUGGGCCGAUAUUGACGCUGAGGAGCGAAAGCGUGGGGAGCGAACAGG
Molecule: ribosomal RNA, 253 nt
Filed under: uncultured bacterium
Lineage: Bacteria
Description: partial 16S ribosomal RNA
Rfam family: Bacterial small subunit ribosomal RNA
Source: RNAcentral